RNAcentral lists this ribosomal RNA (577 nucleotides) under Polytoma uvella. RNAcentral describes it as "bacterial SSU rRNA". It matches the Rfam family "Bacterial small subunit ribosomal RNA", at positions 737 to 1327 of the family's 1533-position model. Lineage: Eukaryota; Viridiplantae; Chlorophyta; Chlorophyceae; Chlamydomonadales; Chlamydomonadaceae. The record is from RNAcentral.
AAACUGACGCUGAGAGACGAAAGCUAUGGUAGCGAACAAGAUUAGAUACCUUGGUAGUCAUAGCUGUAAACGAUGGAAACUAAGUAGGGGGACACCUCUGCUGUAGCUAACGCGUUAAGUUUCCCGCCUGGGGAGUACGUUCGCAAGAAUGAAACUCAAAGGAAUUGACGGGAACCUGCACAAUCGGUGGAUCAUGUGGUUUAAUCUGAUGCAACACGAAGAACCUUACCAGGUUUUGACAUACCCAGAAUGCCCUAGAAAUAGGGUAGUGUUUAUAGAUUAAGUCUAUAAAAACUGGGCUACAGGUGGUGCAUGGCUGUCGUCAGCUCGUGCGUUGACGUGUACGGUUAAGUCCUUCAACGAGCGCAACCCUCGUCUUUAGUUAUUUACUCUAAAGAGACUGCAAACGUAAGUUUGAGGAAGGUGGGGAUUACGUCAAGUCAUCAUGCCCCUUAUAACCUGGGCUACACACGUGAUACAAUGGUUGGGACAAUGAGAAGCAACUCCGCGAGGAUUAGCGAAUCUACAAACCCAGCCCCAGUUCGGAUUGCAGGCUGCAACUCGCCUGCAUAAGGUG